AAAAAUUUAGUUAAAAUAUAACAUUAGCUUGUCAAGCUAAAAUUACUUGGGGGGUAAUUUUUA
This 63-nucleotide transfer RNA is filed under the name Chlorophorus simillimus. RNAcentral's name for it is "tRNA-Asp". It matches the Rfam family "tRNA". Rfam says of the family: Transfer RNA (tRNA) molecules are approximately 80 nucleotides in length. Their secondary structure includes four short double-helical elements and three loops (D, anti-codon, and T loops). Further hydrogen bonds mediate the characteristic L-shaped molecular structure. tRNAs have two regions of fundamental functional importance: the anti-codon, which is responsible for specific mRNA codon recognition, and the 3' end, to which the tRNAs corresponding amino acid is attached (by aminoacyl-tRNA synthetases). tRNAs cope with the degeneracy of the genetic code in two manners: having more than one tRNA (with a specific anti-codon) for a particular amino acid; and 'wobble' base-pairing, i.e. permitting non-standard base-pairing at the 3rd anti-codon position. The record is from RNAcentral. Lineage: Eukaryota; Metazoa; Arthropoda; Insecta; Coleoptera; Cerambycidae.